RNAcentral lists this ribosomal RNA (459 nucleotides) under uncultured bacterium. RNAcentral describes it as "partial 16S ribosomal RNA". It matches the Rfam family "Bacterial small subunit ribosomal RNA", at positions 338 to 795 of the family's 1533-position model. The record is from RNAcentral.
CCUACGGGUGGCAGCAGUGAGGAAUAUUGGUCAAUGGGCGGAAGCCUGAACCAGCCAAGUAGCGUGCAGGAUGACGGCCCUACGGGUUGUAAACUGCUUUUAUACGGGAAUAACGCGCCUUACGUGUAGGGCUUUGCAUGUACCGUAUGAAUAAGGACCGGCUAAUUCCGUGCCAGCAGCCGCGGUAAUACGGAAGGUCUGAGCGUUAUCCGGAUUUUUUGGGUUUAAAGGGUGCGCAGGCGGGCUGUUAAGCUGGCGGUAAAAAUUCAGGGCUCAACCCUGUCGAGCCGUCGGAACUGGGAGCCUUGAGUGGGCGAGAAGUAUGCGGAAUGCGUGGUGUAGCGGUGAAAUGCAUAGAUAUCACGCAGAACGCCGAUUGCGAAGGCAGCAUACCGGCGCCCGACUGACGCUGAGGCACGAAAGCGUGGGGAUCGAACAGGAUUAGAUACCCCAGUAGUC